Long non-coding RNA from Nannospalax galili (Upper Galilee mountains blind mole rat), 510 nucleotides. RefSeq lists it as uncharacterized. The transcript has 3 exons. The record is from RefSeq and is a predicted model, not a curated record. Lineage: Eukaryota; Metazoa; Chordata; Mammalia; Rodentia; Spalacidae.
GGCGUCAGUAGGAACAGUAACAAGCAGAGCACGCACUCCUGGGGAGACAGCGGAGGUCAGGGAGGCUCCAACCAGUUUCGAGGGUUCCUCCAGUGGUCCCUGUCCCACCCCAGGACCGAGUAACUCACCAUGGUCGGGAGAGACCAAAACAGGAAGAAUUCUUCAUGGCAGUCAGGCACUCCGUGCCAGGGGGAUGACUCAAGCGCCUCAGGCUUCUAUGGUACACAGAGGAAAGGAUGAACCACACCAGAACCUUAGGUGCGUAACCGGGAGUUUGUGGACGAGAUUACCAACUUCAUCUAUGGACUCCAGAGGGAGAAUAAAGCUCAAGGACCCAAGUUAAUAUGAAGAACAAGUCCCCCUUCUCCCCACCUACUCCUUUGUUUAAAAAUUCUCUCUUCCUCCCUUCAUCUCCCCUCUCCCUCUCUCUCUUUUGAGACAGGGUCUCUCACUCUAGCAGCCUAAUCUGGCCUGUAACUCAUUAUGUAGCUCACACUAGCCUUGAACUCC